RNAcentral lists this ribosomal RNA (996 nucleotides) under human gut metagenome. Its description in RNAcentral is "bacterial SSU rRNA". It matches the Rfam family "Bacterial small subunit ribosomal RNA", at positions 348 to 1346 of the family's 1533-position model. The record is from RNAcentral.
GCAGCAGUGAGGAAUAUUGGUCAAUGGCCGAGAGGCUGAACCAGCCAAGUCGCGUGAAGGAAGAAGGAUCUAUGGUUUGUAAACUUCUUUUAUAGGGGAAUAAAGUGGAGGACGUGUCCUUUUUUGUAUGUACCCUAUGAAUAAGCAUCGGCUAACUCCGUGCCAGCAGCCGCGGUAAUACGGAGGAUGCGAGCGUUAUCCGGAUUUAUUGGGUUUAAAGGGUGCGUAGGUGGUGAUUUAAGUCAGCGGUGAAAGUUUGUGGCUCAACCAUAAAAUUGCCGUUGAAACUGGGUUACUUGAGUGUGUUUGAGGUAGGCGGAAUGCGUGGUGUAGCGGUGAAAUGCAUAGAUAUCACGCAGAACUCCGAUUGCGAAGGCAGCUUACUAAACCAUAACUGACACUGAAGCACGAAAGCGUGGGGAUCAAACAGGAUUAGAUACCCUGGUAGUCCACGCAGUAAACGAUGAUUACUAGGAGUUUGCGAUACAAUGUAAGCUCUACAGCGAAAGCGUUAAGUAAUCCACCUGGGGAGUACGCCGGCAACGGUGAAACUCAAAGGAAUUGACGGGGGCGCGCACAAGCGGAGGAACAUGUGGUUUAAUUCGAUGAUACGCGAGGAACCUUACCCGGGUUUGAACGUAGUCUGACCGGAGUGGAAACACUCCUUCUAGCAAUAGCAGAUUACGAGGUGCUGCAUGGUUGUCGUCAGCUCGUGCCGUGAGGUGUCGGCUUAAGUGCCAUAACGAGCGCAACCCUUAUCACUAGUUACUAACAGGUGAAGCUGAGGACUCUGGUGAGACUGCCAGCGUAAGCUGUGAGGAAGGUGGGGAUGACGUCAAAUCAGCACGGCCCUUACAUCCGGGGCGACACACGUGUUACAAUGGCAUGGACAAAGGGCAGCUACCUGGCGACAGGAUGCUAAUCUCCAAACCAUGUCUCAGUUCGGAUCGGAGUCUGCAACUCGACUCCGUGAAGCUGGAUUCGCUAGUAAUCGCG